GACGAACGCUGGCGGCGUGCCUAAUACAUGCAAGUAGAACGCACAGUUUAUACCGUAGCUUGCUACACCAUAGACUGUGAGUUGCGAACGGGUGAGUAACGCGUAGGUAACCUGCCUGGUAGCGGGGGAUAACUAUUGGAAACGAUAGCUAAUACCGCAUAAUAUUAAUUAUUGCAUGAUAAUUAAUUGAAAGGUGCAAUUGCACCACUACCAGAUGGACCUGCGUUGUAUUAGCUAGUAGGUGAGGUAACGGCUCACCUAGGCGACGAUACAUAGCCGACCUGAGAGGGUGAUCGGCCACACUGGGACUGAGACACGGCCCAGACUCCUACGGGAGGCAGCAGUAGGGAAUCUUCGGCAAUGGACGAAAGUCUGACCGAGCAACGCCGCGUGAGGGAAGAAGGUUUUCGGAUCGUAAAGCUCUGUUGUAAGAGAAGAACGGGUGUGAGAGUGGAAAGUUCACACUGUGACGGUAUCUUACCAGAAAGAGACGGCUAACUACGUG
This 505-nucleotide ribosomal RNA is filed under the name uncultured bacterium. Its description in RNAcentral is "partial 16S ribosomal RNA". It matches the Rfam family "Bacterial small subunit ribosomal RNA", at positions 28 to 507 of the family's 1533-position model. The record is from RNAcentral.